UCGAAGCCUCCGAAUGACCCGCGAACUAGUUAUUCAAAAGUCGGGGUGUCGGUCUAAUCCCCUUCACCCCGUGUGCUGGUGGUGGCCACGCGUGCCCGUCACUUGCCCAACAAACCAACCCCGGCGCGGCAUGCGCCAAGGAACUUUGCAUCAUAAGAAGGAUCACACUCCCGACCGUGCCGAAAAUCGGAUCACGCGGUCGGUGGCUGUUAUCCUGUUCAUAACAAAAACGACUCUCGGCAAYGGAUAUCUAGGCUCUUGCAUCGAUGAAGAACGUAGCGAAAUGCGAUACUUGGUGUGAAUUGCAGAAUCCCGUGAACCAUCGAGUCUUUGAACGCAAGUUGCGCCCGAAGCCUUCUGGCCGAGGGCACGUCUGCCUGGGUGUCACACAUCGUCGCCCCCAAACCAAAUACCUCACCAGAGAUACUUGGAAGAGGAUGGGCGGAUAAUGGUCUCCCGUGCGCACCCGUUCGCGGUUGGCCCAAAAGUAAGUUCCCGGCGAUAGCAAGCCACGACAAGCGGUGGUUGAUUAGACCCUCGAUYGGAGUCGUGAGCACCYGCCUCGCACGUUGGAAYAGGUAGACCCUGAACGUGCUCGAAGAACUUCGAACACUCACGAA
This 620-nucleotide unclassified non-coding RNA is filed under the name Hypericum pamphylicum. RNAcentral's name for it is "sequence contains ITS1, 5.8S rRNA gene, ITS2". The stretch from base 232 to 387 matches the Rfam family "5.8S ribosomal RNA". The record is from RNAcentral. Lineage: Eukaryota; Viridiplantae; Streptophyta; Magnoliopsida; Malpighiales; Hypericaceae.